GGAGAGGUGGCAGAGUGGUCGAAUGCGCCGCACUCGAAAUGCGGUGUACGGGCAACCGUACCGUGGGUUCGAAUCCCACCCUCUCCGCCA
This 90-nucleotide transfer RNA is filed under the name Novosphingobium capsulatum. RNAcentral describes it as "tRNA-Ser". It matches the Rfam family "tRNA". Rfam says of the family: Transfer RNA (tRNA) molecules are approximately 80 nucleotides in length. The record is from RNAcentral. RNAcentral also lists the same sequence under 81 other names. Lineage: Bacteria; Pseudomonadati; Pseudomonadota; Alphaproteobacteria; Sphingomonadales; Sphingomonadaceae.